UAAAAAAGGCAAACCUAAUGAAAAUUAGGGACGCAAAGCCACGGGUCUACAACAAUGAAAAUUGUCAUGAUGGCCGGGCUGCCG
Molecule: non-coding RNA, 84 nt
Filed under: marine sediment metagenome
Also listed under: 1 other name
Description: c-di-GMP-I riboswitch aptamer
Rfam family: c-di-GMP-I riboswitch aptamer
About the family: GEMM was predicted in a large-scale screen for bacterial structured RNA regulatory elements. Genes associated with GEMM are involved in a diverse array of functions, including chemotaxis regulation, signal transduction, secretion and chitin.
Source: RNAcentral